Panthera uncia (snow leopard) is the source of this 962-nucleotide long non-coding RNA. RefSeq lists it as uncharacterized. The transcript is spliced from 4 exons. Lineage: Eukaryota; Metazoa; Chordata; Mammalia; Carnivora; Felidae. The record is from RefSeq and is a predicted model, not a curated record.
CAGCCCCAGGCGCUUCGGACCGGGACGGAAACUCCGAGGUAACUCUUCACUCGUCAGAAAUUUUGCGUGUGGACCGAUUUCCGCACAUGCGCACUCGACGCCGCAGUGUCCACAAGACGCCUAGGUAGCGGGGAGGCUGGUGAGCGAGCCGCUGGUGAUAGGGACAGAUGUUGGAGACAGCUCCAGCUGAUGUCUGUCACGUGGUACAAUGAGCCCAGUGUGGCCAGAGCUCCUGGAUUCACAAAAGAAACUGGAAACCCAGAUUCUUAUGAAAAAUUCCCUUACACAGGCAUUCCCUCGGAGAUACUGUGGGUUUGGUACCAGACUACUGCAAUAAAGCAGACGCCUGUGGCUCAACAUGGAGAAAAGCCUACUAUUGAGCCCACGAGCCCAGACGUGGUUACCUUUUUGCGUGGCCGAAGCUUGUCCCGCCAUUCCUUCAGGUUCUGAUUAUGGCUCUCAUCUAGGGCCUUCAGCUUCUGGGUUUCAUGUUCUACCAGGAGGUGACACUUUUCAUUCUGGAACAAAUUCCAGGCAGAACAGGAGAGAUUUGUGUAAAGAUGAGGACAUGGACCUGACAGAGACACUCCCAACUUUAUUAUUCUCUGAGGUAAGUCAUCUGCCUCACAAAAUUUACCUGGAAUUUCUCGCAAGGCAAAAGUGAUAAGUCCCUGUUGAUCCUCACAGAGAAUCAAUCUUGUGGUUUAUAAGGCAUUUAUAAAGCAAGAGGAAAGGGUCUCCCUCCAGAUACCUCAAUCGUUUGGGGUUGGAAGAGUGGGACACCUUGGGGGGAUUUUCAUUUUGGAUUUCAACUCAAGGCUCCCGAGAGUUUAGAAAUCUGUUUAGUUAGAAAUAAUACUACAGCACGGAAUACCUUUGACCUGCCAGAAGCUGGGCUCCUGGCACUUUCUGUGGGUUCUCUCAGUUAAUCCUCCCAGUCACCCCGUGAGCAGAUGCAGAAG